RNAcentral lists this ribosomal RNA (496 nucleotides) under uncultured bacterium. RNAcentral describes it as "partial 16S ribosomal RNA". It matches the Rfam family "Bacterial small subunit ribosomal RNA", at positions 29 to 507 of the family's 1533-position model. The record is from RNAcentral.
AUGAACGCUGGCGGCGUGCCUAAUACCUGCAAGUCGAGCGCACAGACGAGGAGCUUGCUCCUCUGACGUUAGCGGCGGACGGGUGAGUAACACGUGGAUAACCUACCUAUAAGACUGGGAUAACUUCGGGAAACCGGAGCUAAUACCGGAUAAUAUAUUGAACCGCAUGGUUCAAUAGUGAAAGACGGUUUUGCUGUCACUUAUAGAUGGAUCCGCGCCGCAUUAGCUAGUUGGUAAGGUAACGGCUUACCAAGGCAACGAUGCGUAGCCGACCUGAGAGGGUGAUCGGCCACACUGGAACUGAGACACGGUCCAGACUCCUACGGGAGGCAGCAGUAGGGAAUCUUCCGCAAUGGGCGAAAGCCUGACGGAGCAACGCCGCGUGAGUGAUGAAGGUCCUCGGAUCGUAAAACUCUGUUAUUAGGGAAGAACAAAUGUGUAAGUAACUAUGCACGUCUUGACGGUACCUAAUCAGAAAGCCACGGCUAACUACGUG